Molecule: ribosomal RNA, 368 nt
Filed under: uncultured organism
Description: bacterial SSU rRNA
Rfam family: Bacterial small subunit ribosomal RNA
Source: RNAcentral
CGUAGGUGGCAAGCGUUGUCCGGAUUUAUUGGGUUUAAAGGGUGCGUAGGCGGCUUUGUAAGUCAGUGGUGAAAUACUCCAGCUCAACUGGAGAGGUGCCAUUGAUACUGCAGAGCUAGAGUACUGAUGAGGUAGGCGGAAUGGACGGUGUAGCGGUGAAAUGCUUAGAUAUCGUCCAGAACACCGAUAGCGAAGGCAGCUUACUAAAGAGUAACUGACGCUGAGGCACGAAAGUGUGGGGAUCAAACAGGAUUAGAUACCCUGGUAGUCCACACUGUAAACGUUGAUCACUAGAUGUUGGCGAUACACUGCCAGCGUUCCGGCAAAAGCGAUAAGUGAUCCACCUGGGGAGUACGCCCGCAAGGGUG